GUCAAAUAGAAUAAAAAUCAAACGUAGGGCAAAUUGAGUUUUAGUGAAGAACUCGCCUUCGUGGGUCCCACUUCGCGAACAUCAUUUAGGUUGAGCCUUGAGCAAAGCAAAACCAUCUCUUGUUUUUCCUCUUCGGCGCAUGUGCGCGAUUGAGUGAGUUACUGAUUCACAUAAAGGAGCAGUUUUGAGUAGUUGAAGUUGAAUAUUCAAAUCCAAAGCAUCACCUCCCCGAUUAAACCCUCAUCCUCCAUGUCUCUCUGCACCUCGCAAUGACAGCUUUACUCAUGGCGGUCUCCGCCUUCUACAUCCACGCCGCAAGACCAGGUCUUCACCGCGCUGUUGAAAUCCUCCUCUCACGGACUGCAUCAACUGCAAAUGAAACCAGCUGGCCAGGGAGGCAAGUAGCUAGGUAACUCGGGAGCUUGGCUGGUGAGUUACGGCAGCAUUAAGGUAGCUUUGGUUGCUAGCCAGUUGAGAGGUUGUCCGGGUUAAUCUAAUUGGAUAAGACUGCGUACAAGGAUUUCCUCCACCCCACACUUGCUGGUUGGGUUUAACAGGGAGUGGUUUUUAUUGUGUUGAAAACAUAUGCAUUGGGUACACUAUUUAUAACGCCCAACUUAAUUCAGUCCUAAGCCUUGGGGAAAGGGUGUAAAUUUUGAAAACUUAUGGGCAGAUUCACAUUUUCAGGGAAUUAGAGGGGCUGAAGUGUAAAUUUAAGAAAUGCUAAGUGACAAAUGUUUUGGUGAGUUAAGGUGCAUCUUAAUCAGUUGCACCCGAAAGAUUUCAGCCAUGUGAUUAACAUCCUAUGACUGCAUGUGUAGGAACUAUUUUAGUAAGUAUAGAAUGGGCUGCCUGGGAUUAACUUUUGCAUUACCUACCUUCUGAUGCAAAUUCAGAAGUCGCACCGAAUCCGUAGUCUAAAUAGUCCCCUUUUUGCCUGCCCAUCGCCCAACUCCUCAUCUUAACAAAUCUCAAAGAGCUUCUUUCAUCUACACCAAAUUUCAACCGAAAAGCUCCCAAUUACCCUAGAAAUUUCAGAAUCGUUGAGAGGGAUGAAUCGCGUCUCUUUUUUUUUUUUCAAUUUGGUUGCGAAGUAAAUAGUUGUUGCUGGCUUCUCUCUCUUUGAAGCUUCGGUCACCGUAAAAUUAUAGCCAAGGAAUAUAGGAAAUGAAAGAGAACAAACUUGAAGGGGCUGAACCAAGGAAGGAAAAGAACUAAAGCUCCAUUUUACCAAGAGAAGCUUAGAAUCAUCAUUUGGAUUGAUUUGAGCAAGGAACUUCUGUUCCUGUUUGAGUGAAGAGGGGGCUGUCAAGGGAGAGUGUAGAAAAUAAAAGACUGAAGUGUGUGAUCAAAAGGAGACAAAAGGCACUAAUAAUGCAAAGGACAAGGCCAUUGAAGGCUCAAAGUGAUGGAAAUGUUGUUUAUAAUUGCUGUGAACUUAUGAUGUAUUGUAGUUGCUUUAGAACAGUUUUGUUUGUAACAUGUACCUUCAGCCCAACUUUGUAAUUAUUUUGAAGACUUGAUGUAAUAGAGAUUAAAUCUAUGAUUAGUUGAAAAAAUGUAAUGGGCUGUCAAAGGGAUCGAUGGGUAUGUUUUGGAGUUGAUAUAGUGAGUUUUGUAUGGAAAUGAGAUACAUAUGUUGUACUUCAAAGUCUUGAGUACCCAAAGGCAUCUUGAUAGGCUGA
Molecule: long non-coding RNA, 1685 nt
Organism: Gastrolobium bilobum
Lineage: Eukaryota; Viridiplantae; Streptophyta; Magnoliopsida; Fabales; Fabaceae
Exons: 6
Source: RefSeq, a predicted model, not a curated record